This 22-nucleotide microRNA is filed under the name Picea abies (Norway spruce). Its description in RNAcentral is "pab-miR482m". Its record names the gene pab-miR482m. Lineage: Eukaryota; Viridiplantae; Streptophyta; Pinopsida; Pinales; Pinaceae. The record is from miRBase by way of RNAcentral.
UUUUUCCAACUCCACCUAGACC